CCGAUUCUGGCACCAACAGGAGAUACACAAUAUCAGAAAUAUUGAGGAGCUGAAACAUUUUUGCCAGGAGGAAUGGUGUAAAAUCCCUCCUCAUUCUUAUGCAAGUUUGAUUAGUAGCUGGUGAAGGUCAUUGCAGCAAAUGGAGAUUCUACCCACGUCUACACGUGAACAUAUUUUAGACGAAUCUGCUAUGAAGGCCGAGGUUGAGACUGGACAACAUGAGAAUUUAGCCAAAGAACGCAAGAAGGAAUGGAUGAAGAAAGGAAUGAAGUUCAACAUGACAUUGAAAUCCGCAAAUGCAAAACAGAUGUUGGAACGUCCAAUUUAUGUGCCUCAUGAUUACUAGU
Long non-coding RNA from Ictalurus punctatus (channel catfish), 347 nucleotides. The record is from Ensembl. Lineage: Eukaryota; Metazoa; Chordata; Actinopteri; Siluriformes; Ictaluridae.